UCCGUGGAAUUGUAUAACAAAAUUAUUUCUGUAAACAAAGGGGGAUAGUUUCAAUAUCAUUCCCCUUUAAAUAGUAAUGCAAAAUGAAAAGGUAUAGUAUAAGAUUUGUAAAUAUGCGGAGUUUUGUGGUGUUUUUAGUUUCCUCCUUAGUUUCCCUAUCCAUGGCCAUGGAAGCUCCCACGAAUAUUUUGAUACACCCUUCCCUUUCUGCACCAAUUUCACCUUCUCACCAAACUCUACUUACCUCUCUUCACCUCCUAAAUGCUUCCGCCUUUGAUCCUCCAACUCCAAAUACUUUUCCUCCACCUCCUCUGGAUGCGCCUCCUCCAGCUCAAUCUUCGACGAAAUCGAACCCAUCUCCCUCACCUUCUUCCUCGCUCUCCUCUCCUUCCACGCCACUACCACCCCCUACCUCGCGUCGUUCACCAAUUUCAGUGGGAAACAGAUCCGCACCAGUGCAAAUUGUGGCGAUUGUGAUUGCAACUACAAUUAUUUUCAUAGGUGCACUUGUUGGGGGAUUUUGUUACCUACGCCGACGAGUGUUACAAAAUCCCGUAUAUUAGCUUCUGGAUUUCUCCUCUUCUUUUACUCUUUUUGUAUUCGUAAAAAUAUAGCGACUCAUUUUUUUUUUUUUGGUUUUCCCUUUUCCUUAAAUAUCAAAUCUUUAAUAAUAACUCCAUUUUCAUUUCUCUUCUGUACUUCUGUUCCCUUUCUUGUCAAAGUCUGUAAUGCCUAUAUAUAUUUUGUAUAUCUUCCAUUGGCUAAUACAUAGUGAAAUAUAUUACUUUCUGCCUUCUGUUAAA
Molecule: long non-coding RNA, 803 nt
Organism: Cucumis sativus (cucumber)
Lineage: Eukaryota; Viridiplantae; Streptophyta; Magnoliopsida; Cucurbitales; Cucurbitaceae
Exons: 2
Source: RefSeq, a predicted model, not a curated record